UACGGAAGGCAGCAGUGGGGAAUAUUGCACAAUGGGCGCAAGCCUGAUGCAGCCAUGCCGCGUGUAUGAAAAAGGCCUUCGGGUUGUAAAGUACUUUCAGUCGUGAGGAAGGUGUUAAGGUUAAUAACCUUAGCAAUUGACGUUAGCGACAGAAGAAGCACCGGCUAACUCCGUGCCAGCAGCCGCGGUAAUACGGAGGGUGCGAGCGUUAAUCGGAAUUACUGGGCGUAAAGGGCACGCAGGCGGUUAAUUAAGUUGGAUGUGAAAUCCCCGGGCUUAACCUGGGAAUGGCAUUCAAGACUGGUUAGCUAGAGUCUUGUAGAGGGGGUAGAAUUCCGAUGUGUAGCGGUGAAAUGCGUAGAGAUGUGGAGGAAUACCGGUGGCGAAGGCGGCCCCUGGACAAAGACUGACGCUCAUGUGCGAAAGCGUGGGGAGCAAACAGGGAUUAGAUACC
This 454-nucleotide ribosomal RNA is filed under the name uncultured bacterium. RNAcentral describes it as "bacterial SSU rRNA". It matches the Rfam family "Bacterial small subunit ribosomal RNA", at positions 340 to 786 of the family's 1533-position model. The record is from RNAcentral.